AGACUUACUUGGCAGGGGGAAUACCACAAUCAAGAAGGUGGUUUCCCCAGGGUGAGGCUCUUCCAUUACACAUUUCAGCUGGUUUGACCCCUUUGAUUUCCCUACAUGUGGGAAACCCAACUGCAUAAUUUCUGGUAUAUAUGUCUAUAUGUUGUUAUGUCUAAUA
Small nuclear RNA from Protopterus annectens (West African lungfish), 166 nucleotides. RefSeq annotates it as U1 spliceosomal RNA. The record is from RefSeq and is a predicted model, not a curated record. NCBI's taxonomy places the organism in Eukaryota, Metazoa, Chordata, Ceratodontiformes, Protopteridae. The transcript has a single exon.